This 796-nucleotide ribosomal RNA is filed under the name Bacillus sp. M108. RNAcentral describes it as "bacterial SSU rRNA". It matches the Rfam family "Bacterial small subunit ribosomal RNA", at positions 24 to 808 of the family's 1533-position model. Lineage: Bacteria; Bacillati; Bacillota; Bacilli; Caryophanales; Bacillaceae. The record is from RNAcentral.
UCCGUUUUAUAAUGCUGCGGUCUAUCAUGCAAGUCGAGCGGACAGAUGGGAGCUUGCUCCCUGAAGUCAGCGGCGGACGGGUGAGUAACACGUGGGCAACCUGCCUGUAAGACUGGGAUAACUCCGGGAAACCGGGGCUAAUACCGGAUAAUUCUUUCCCUCACAUGAGGGAAAGCUGAAAGAUGGUUUCGGCUAUCACUUACAGAUGGGCCCGCGGCGCAUUAGCUAGUUGGUGAGGUAACGGCUCACCAAGGCAACGAUGCGUAGCCGACCUGAGAGGGUGAUCGGCCACACUGGGACUGAGACACGGCCCAGACUCCUACGGGAGGCAGCAGUAGGGAAUCUUCCGCAAUGGACGAAAGUCUGACGGAGCAACGCCGCGUGAGUGAUGAAGGUUUUCGGAUCGUAAAACUCUGUUGUUAGGGAAGAACAAGUACCGGAGUAACUGCCGGUACCUUGACGGUACCUAACCAGAAAGCCACGGCUAACUACGUGCCAGCAGCCGCGGUAAUACGUAGGUGGCAAGCGUUGUCCGGAAUUAUUGGGCGUAAAGCGCGCGCAGGCGGUUCCUUAAGUCUGAUGUGAAAGCCCCCGGCUCAACCGGGGAGGGUCAUUGGAAACUGGGGAACUUGAGUGCAGAAGAGAAGAGUGGAAUUCCACGUGUAGCGGUGAAAUGCGUAGAGAUGUGGAGGAACACCAGUGGCGAAGGCGACUCUUUGGUCUGUAACUGACGCUGACGCGCGAAAGCGUGGGGAGCAAACAGGAUUAUAUACCCUGGUAGUCCACGCCGUAAACC